RNAcentral lists this ribosomal RNA (666 nucleotides) under Burkholderia sp. DA2. RNAcentral's name for it is "bacterial SSU rRNA". It matches the Rfam family "Bacterial small subunit ribosomal RNA", at positions 86 to 794 of the family's 1533-position model. Lineage: Bacteria; Pseudomonadati; Pseudomonadota; Betaproteobacteria; Burkholderiales; Burkholderiaceae. The record is from RNAcentral.
UGGUGGCGAGUGGCGAACGAGUGAGUAAUACAUCGGAACAUGUCCUGUAGUGGGGGAUAGCCCGGCGAAAGCCGGAUUAAUACCGCAUACGAUCUACGGAUGAAAGCGGGGGACCUUCGGGCCUCGCGCUAUAGGGUUGGCCGAUGGCUGAUUAGCUAGUUGGUGGGGUAAAGGCCUACCAAGGCGACGAUCAGUAGCUGGUCUGAGAGGACGACCAGCCUUACUGGGACUGAGACACGGCCCAGACUCCUACGGGAGGCAGCAGUGGGGAAUUUUGGACAAUGGGCGAAAGCCUGAUCCAGCAAUGCCGCGUGUGUGAAGAAGGCCUUCGGGUUGUAAAGCACUUUUGUCCGUAAAGAAAUCCUUGGCUCUAAUACAGUCGGGGGAUGACGGUACCGGAAGAAUAAGCACCGGCUAACUACGUGCCAGCAGCCGCGGUAAUACGUAGGGUGCAAGCGUUAAUCGGAAUUACUGGGCGUAAAGCGUGCGCAGGCGGUUUGCUAGACUGGCAGGCUAGAGUAUGGCAGAGGGGGGUAGAAUUCCACGUGUAGCAGUGAAAUGCGUAGAGAUGUGAGGAAUACCGAUGGCGAAGGCAGCCCCCUUGCUCCAAUACUGACGCUCAUGCACGAAGCGUGUGGAGCAAACAGGAUUAGAUACCCUGGUAGU